ACCUGAUGAUGUGGGCAUUUACGAACCAAGUCCUUAAAAUGCUCCCAAGUCUCGAAAAAGAGUACCCCAUCCAUUUGUGAGAAACUCAUGAUGGCUUUCCAAGGU
Small nucleolar RNA from Malania oleifera, 105 nucleotides. The record is from RefSeq and is a predicted model, not a curated record. Lineage: Eukaryota; Viridiplantae; Streptophyta; Magnoliopsida; Santalales; Ximeniaceae.